ACUCGUCUUAUGACAAGUGGCUUGUGUAAAGUUUAAAAGUUGGAUGAAUAAAUCAAAACCAGGUAAGCAAAACAUUGUUGGUGAAAUGGACUCGGACCGUUCAUUAGAAUCCACCAGCGCAGCGGUUUCCCAUAAACAUAUUCGUUCACCACGGAAGUUCUUACAAUGGACAAAAUAGUAUUGAGAGAGUUGUUUGAAAAUCAUGUCGGCAGGGUUAGGAGCAAACCGGUAGAUGACUCCUUUAACGACCUCGCGCCUACAGAAACCAGAAUCCAUGCGAAUUUCGUUUGAACCAGG
Long non-coding RNA from Armigeres subalbatus, 297 nucleotides. RefSeq lists it as uncharacterized. Lineage: Eukaryota; Metazoa; Arthropoda; Insecta; Diptera; Culicidae. The transcript has 3 exons. The record is from RefSeq and is a predicted model, not a curated record.